GCGGGUGUAGUUUAAUGGCAGAAUAGCAGCUUCCCAAGCUUCAGGCGAGGGUUCGAUUCCCUUCACCCGCU
This 71-nucleotide transfer RNA is filed under the name Paenibacillus albiflavus. It matches the Rfam family "tRNA". From Rfam's summary of the family: Transfer RNA (tRNA) molecules are approximately 80 nucleotides in length. Their secondary structure includes four short double-helical elements and three loops (D, anti-codon, and T loops). Lineage: Bacteria; Bacillati; Bacillota; Bacilli; Caryophanales; Paenibacillaceae. The record is from Rfam by way of RNAcentral.